This 253-nucleotide ribosomal RNA is filed under the name uncultured bacterium. RNAcentral's name for it is "partial 16S ribosomal RNA". It matches the Rfam family "Bacterial small subunit ribosomal RNA", at positions 524 to 776 of the family's 1533-position model. The record is from RNAcentral.
UACGUAGGGUGCAAGCGUUGUCCGGAAUUAUUGUGCGUAAAGAGCUUGUAGGCGGUUUGUCGCGUCUGCUGUGAAAUUUCGGGGCUCAACCCCGAACUUGCAGUGGGUACGGGCAGACUAGAGUGUGGUAGGGGAGACUGGAAUUCCUGGUGUAGCGGUGAAAUGCGCAGAUAUCAGGAGGAACACCGAUGGCGAAGGCGGCUCUCUGGGCCUUACCUGACGCUGAGGAGCGAAAGCGUGGGUAGCGAACAGG